GAGAUAGCUCAGUUGGUAGAGUGCUUGCCUUGAAAGCAUGAGGAUCUAGGUUCUAGUCUC
This 60-nucleotide transfer RNA is filed under the name Neotoma lepida (desert woodrat). It matches the Rfam family "tRNA". From Rfam's summary of the family: Transfer RNA (tRNA) molecules are approximately 80 nucleotides in length. Their secondary structure includes four short double-helical elements and three loops (D, anti-codon, and T loops). Further hydrogen bonds mediate the characteristic L-shaped molecular structure. tRNAs have two regions of fundamental functional importance: the anti-codon, which is responsible for specific mRNA codon recognition, and the 3' end, to which the tRNAs corresponding amino acid is attached (by aminoacyl-tRNA synthetases). tRNAs cope with the degeneracy of the genetic code in two manners: having more than one tRNA (with a specific anti-codon) for a particular amino acid; and 'wobble' base-pairing, i.e. permitting non-standard base-pairing at the 3rd anti-codon position. Lineage: Eukaryota; Metazoa; Chordata; Mammalia; Rodentia; Cricetidae. The record is from Rfam by way of RNAcentral.